GGGCCCGCACAAGCGGUGGAGUAUGUGGUUUAAUUCGAUGCAACGCGAAGAACCUUACCAGGGUUUGACAUCCUGCGAAUCUCUUGGAAACAGGAGAGUGCCUUCGGGAACGCAGUGACAGGUGGUGCAUGGCUGUCGUCAGCUCGUGUCGUGAGAUGUUGGGUUAAGUCCCGCAACGAGCGCAACCCACGUCUUUAGUUGCCAGCAUUUAGUUGGGCACUCUAGAGAGACUGCCGGUGAUAAACCGGAGGAAGGUGUGGAUGACGUCAAAUCAUCACGGCCCUUACGUCCUGGGCUACACACGUGCUACAAUGGCCGGUACAGAGAGCAGCCACCACGCGAGUGGGAGCGAAUCUUCAAAGCCGGUCUCAGUUCGGAUCGCAGUCUGCAACUCGACUGCGUGAAGCUGGAAUCGCUAGUAAUCGC
Molecule: ribosomal RNA, 426 nt
Filed under: uncultured bacterium
Lineage: Bacteria
Description: bacterial SSU rRNA
Rfam family: Bacterial small subunit ribosomal RNA
Source: RNAcentral